GAGAAAUACUCAAGUGGCUGAAGAGGCGCCCCUGCUAAGGGUGUAGGUCGCUUACGCGGCGCGAGGGUUCAAAUCCGGAAUUACUUAUCA
This 90-nucleotide transfer RNA is filed under the name Listeria fleischmannii subsp. coloradonensis. RNAcentral describes it as "tRNA-OTHER". The record is from RNAcentral. Lineage: Bacteria; Bacillati; Bacillota; Bacilli; Caryophanales; Listeriaceae.